Molecule: unclassified non-coding RNA, 206 nt
Filed under: soil metagenome
Description: partial internal transcribed spacer 1
Source: RNAcentral
CCAAAAGAGCGAGAAAUCGUUUCUUUACUGCCUGCUCGGUGGCCCCCUGGGCCGCUGACUGGUCAACCCUUUUGUGAAACCAAAAAAACCUUUUUCGCUUCGGCAGCUGGGGCCUGACCCGCCUGUCAGCCUGCCGCUAGCACCCAACCAAAAAAACCUGUUGUCAAAAACAUUGUCUGAUAACCAAAAUUUUCGAAUGAAAAUCA